ACUUCUGAGAAUUCUUUCAUUGUUCAAGGGAUGUAAAAUGCCAACCCUUUCACUGUUAGGUUGAAUUUUUUUUCUUCUUCUUUUUCUUGCACCAAACCUAACGAAGGAUGGGGGCAUCCAAACCACUGUAUUCUAUUUGCUCUAUGCACAAGGUCAAAAUGAAGUGAUAUUUGCUUUGCCAUCAUUUCUAUUUGACAGCGUGGUUUUUAAGGGAGCCAGAAAGAGAGGCUUGUGCUCCAGUUAGGAGUCCACACAGAGGGAGCAUCAUCCCAGGAGCCGCCUUUCACUGAAUCCUGCAAGGAGUCAGAUGUGGUCAGGAGUGGGGGUUGGGAUUGGUGUUCUAGACUAGAGGGUCCAGUACUGGGAAGUUACCUAAGGUUCAAGAGGAAGAUUAUGUCUAUGAGCAAGACAUAAUCUUGCUCUUAGAUUAUGAGCAAGAUUAUAAUCUCUUCCCAGAAAAAAACAAUAGAGUGAAAAAUGACCAUUGUCUAAUGAUGUUUCUCUAUCUUUCAACAAUAAUGAAGUCUGUCAUUUAGGAAUAUCAAAUGUGACCAGCAGCAGAAUUGGGUUUGAAAGAAGCUCAUGGCAGAUGAAGAGUUGAUAGACUAAAUGUGGUGGUGGCGACGGCGCAGGUUUGCAGUGAGCAUUCCUUUGCUCUAAAGUCAGAGGAAUAGCAACAUUAGAGGAGCAGUAUUGUGGAAAAACAGUUUGGAAAAAUAAAACCUGCCAACUUUUCCUUAAGGUACUAGGGACUGCUGGUGCUUCCUGCUAAGUGGUGGCUUUGAUGGUACCUUAGAGGGGACACCCUCAAGUGUGAGUGGCCUGGUAUAAAUGUCAGCCAAGGUCCAGCUGCUUUUGUCCCGGUCUGCAACCUGUGACACCUCAUGCUGUGGACACACCAGCCCAAAGUCAGUCCAGAGUUUAGGACUUCUAGGGGCAAAACAGAAGAAUUCCAGACUGAAUUGAAUUUACCCAAAGGAAUGGUAGCAGCUGCAAGUAGGACUUUGUGGUACUGAGGAUGGAGAUCAUAUACCCCUUCUAGAGAUGGAGACCUUGCUAUUUAAUUUUACUUGAAGUAAUUGUCUACAGUAUUGUUCCUUUAGUUUUUUUUUAUCUAUUUGU
This is a non-coding RNA of Peromyscus maniculatus bairdii (prairie deer mouse), 1122 nucleotides long. NCBI's taxonomy places the organism in Eukaryota, Metazoa, Chordata, Mammalia, Rodentia, Cricetidae. The record is from RefSeq and is a predicted model, not a curated record.